UGGUGGGUAGUUUGACUGGGGCGGUCUCCUCCCAAAGCGUAACGGAGGAGCACGAAGGUUAGCUAAUCCUGGUCGGACAUCAGGAGGUUAGUGCAAUGGCAUAAGCUAGCUUGACUGCGAGCGUGACGGCGCGAGCAGGUGCGAAAGCAGGUCAUAGUGAUCCGGUGGUUCUGAAUGGAAGGGCCAUCGCUCAACGGAUAAAAGGUACUCCGGGGAUAACAGGCUGAUACCGCCCAAGAGUUCAUAUCGACGGCGGUGUUUGGCACCUCGAUGUCGGCUCAUCACAUCCUGGGGCUGAAGUAGGUCCCAAGGGUAUGGCUGUUCGCCAUUUAAAGUGGUACGCGAGCUGGGUUUAGAACGUCGUGAGACAGUUCGGUCCCUAUCUGCCGUGGGCGCUGGAGAAUUGAGGGGGGCUGCUCCUAGUACGAGAGGACCGGAGUGGACGCAUCACUGGUGUUCGGGUUGUCAUGCCAAUGGCACUGC
This 483-nucleotide ribosomal RNA is filed under the name Klebsiella pneumoniae. RNAcentral's name for it is "partial 23S ribosomal RNA". It matches the Rfam family "Bacterial large subunit ribosomal RNA", at positions 2259 to 2741 of the family's 2925-position model. The record is from RNAcentral. Lineage: Bacteria; Pseudomonadati; Pseudomonadota; Gammaproteobacteria; Enterobacterales; Enterobacteriaceae.